Molecule: ribosomal RNA, 533 nt
Filed under: uncultured bacterium
Lineage: Bacteria
Description: bacterial SSU rRNA
Rfam family: Bacterial small subunit ribosomal RNA
Source: RNAcentral
UGGGGAAUCUUGCACAAUGGACGAAAGUCUGAUGCAGCAACGCCGCGUGGGGGAUGAAGCUUUUCGGAGUGUAAACCCCUUUCGACCCGGAAGAAUGCCCGCAAGGGUUUGACGGUACGGGUAUAAGAAGCCCCGGCUAACUACGUGCCAGCAGCCGCGGUAAUACGUAGGGGGCCAGCGUUGCUCGGAAUUACUGGGCGUAAAGGGUCCGUAGGCGGUGUGGCAAGUCGGGAGUGAAAUCUCUGGGCUUAACCCAGAGGCUGCUUCCGAAACUGCCAUGCUAGAGUGUGAGAGAGGCGAGUGGAAUUACGGGUGUAGCGGUGAAAUGCGUAGAUAUCCGUAGGAACAUCCGAGGCGAAGGCGGCUCGCUGGAUCACAACUGACGCUGAGGGACGAAAGCUAGGGGAGCAAACAGGAUUAGAUACCCUGGUAGUCCUAGCCCUAAACCAUCAGGACUUGGGGUGUGCCCUGUACGGGGCACGUCCCGUAGCUAACGCGUUAAGUCCUGCGCCUGGGGAGUACGGUCGCAAGGC